This 466-nucleotide ribosomal RNA is filed under the name uncultured bacterium. RNAcentral's name for it is "partial 16S ribosomal RNA". It matches the Rfam family "Bacterial small subunit ribosomal RNA", at positions 28 to 507 of the family's 1533-position model. The record is from RNAcentral.
GAUGAACGCUGGCGGCGUGCUUAACACACGCAAGCCGAACGGAAAGGCUCCUGCUUGCAGGGGUACUCGAGUGGCGAACGGGUGAGUAACACGUGGGUGAUCUGCCCUGCACUUCGGGAUAAGCUUGGGAAACUGGGUCUAAUACCGGAUAGGACCGCAUUUUGGAUGGUGUGGUGGAAAGUUUUUUCGGUGUGGGAUGAGCUCGCGGCCUAUCAGCUUGUUGGUGGGGUAAUGGCCUACCAAGGCGUCGACGGGUAGCCGGCCUGAGAGGGUGUACGGCCACAUUGGGACUGAGAUACGGCCCAGACUCCUACGGGAGGCAGCAGUGGGGAAUAUUGCACAAUGGGCGCAAGCCUGAUGCAGCGACGCCGCGUGGGGGAUGACGGCCUUCGGGUUGUAAACUCCUUUCGCUAGGGACGAAGAGUAAUUGACGGUACCUGGAGAAGAAGCACCGGCUAACUACGUG